GGAAAAGUAAAUUAACAAAACUGACUCAAGAAAAGGUAGAAACCACGUCUAUAGAAACAAUUAGAAGAGACUGAAAAGAAAGCUAAAGUUCAACCUCGAAAAUGGGUAACAAGCCACUGAACCGUACAAAGAGGUUCUACUAAAACUUCACGGGAAGGAGUAUUCCCAGCUUACAUAAACUGUGACCAUGACUAGGGCAGGGGGAGGGGGGAAGCUUACAUAUUAACAUGACCCAGAAUAAGACAAGGGUGGGGUAGGCAGGAAAUUAUAGGUUUAUCGUUCUUUGAAAGUAGAUGCAAAAA
This is a non-coding RNA of Kogia breviceps (pygmy sperm whale), 302 nucleotides long. Lineage: Eukaryota; Metazoa; Chordata; Mammalia; Artiodactyla; Physeteridae. The record is from RefSeq and is a predicted model, not a curated record.